UACGGGGGGGGGCAAGCGUUGUUCGGAUUUACUGGGCGUAAAGGGCGCGUAGGCGGCCAGCACAAGUCAGUUGUGAAAUCUCCGAGCUUAACUCGGAAAGGUCAACUGAUACUGUGCGGCUAGAGUGCGGAAGGGGCAACUGGAAUUCUCGGUGUAGCGGUGAAAUGCGUAGAUAUCGAGAGGAACACCUGCGGCGAAGGCGGGUUGCUGGGCUGACACUGACGCUGAGGCGCGAAAGCCAGGGGAGCGAACGGG
This 255-nucleotide ribosomal RNA is filed under the name uncultured bacterium. Its description in RNAcentral is "partial 16S ribosomal RNA". It matches the Rfam family "Bacterial small subunit ribosomal RNA", at positions 524 to 776 of the family's 1533-position model. The record is from RNAcentral.